AUGAGUAAGCAUUUUCGCAUGAUUAAAGGUUUACCGGUGUAAGAUGGGGAUGCGUUCCAUUAGAUAGUAGGCGGGGUAACGGCCCACCUAGUCUUCGAUGGAUAGGGGUUCUGAGAGGAAGGUCCCCCACAUUGGAACUGAGACACGGUCCAAACUCCUACGGGAGGCAGCAGUGAGGAAUAUUGGUCAAUGGACGAGAGUCUGAACCAGCCAAGUAGCGUGAAGGAUGAAGGUUCUAUGGAUUGUAAACUUCUUUUAUACGGGAAUAAACGGAUCCACGUGUGGAUUUUUGCAUGUACCGUAUGAAUAAGGAUCGGCUAACUCCGUGCCAGCAGCCGCGGUAAUACGGAGGAUCCGAGCGUUAUCCGGAUUUAUUGGGUUUAAAGGGAGCGUAGAUGGGUUGUUAAGUCAGUUGUGAAAGUUUGCGGCUCAACCGUAAAAUUGCAAUUGAUACUGGCAGUCUUGAGUACAGUUGAGGUAGGCGGAAUUCGUGGUGUAGCGGUGAAAUGCUUAGAUAUCACGAAGAACUCCGAUUGCGAAGGCAGCUUACUAACCUGUAACUGA
This 564-nucleotide ribosomal RNA is filed under the name uncultured Bacteroidales bacterium. Its description in RNAcentral is "bacterial SSU rRNA". It matches the Rfam family "Bacterial small subunit ribosomal RNA", at positions 180 to 743 of the family's 1533-position model. Lineage: Bacteria; Pseudomonadati; Bacteroidota; Bacteroidia; Bacteroidales. The record is from RNAcentral.